Long non-coding RNA from Myxocyprinus asiaticus (Chinese sucker), 671 nucleotides. RefSeq lists it as uncharacterized. Lineage: Eukaryota; Metazoa; Chordata; Actinopteri; Cypriniformes; Catostomidae. The record is from RefSeq and is a predicted model, not a curated record. The transcript has 3 exons.
AUCUGAAACUCUAAAAACACCAACAUCAGCUGCAUCUUCAGGUGCAUCCUCAAGUUUUAAAAGCAACUCAGCUGAACUGAACUGAUCACAUGUGGAGGCGAAAUCCAGUGCAAGUUGACAAAUACAAGUGAGCAGACAUGGAUUUCUUCAAGGUGUUGGGUGCCGUGGCAUAAGGUGUGGCAGAUGGCACAGUGGGCGUGGUGAAAGCAGCCACUGACAGCAUGAAAGAGGCUGGUGAUAAAAUGACCAGUGCCAGCACACCUGCUGAAGGUGUUGACGCUUUGUUUGGUCUGCUCACCUCUCCGGUGACCGGCGCAGUGUCCGGUGGAACUGAAGAGAUAAUCAAAGCAUCUGGAAAAGUUGUGCAGGGCAUUGCAGGGGGCAUUGCAAGAGGUUUAGAUGACUAACUGAAAGUGUGAAUAUUGAAAGAUUUGGUCUGAUAAACAAAUUUUCUUAAACAAAUUGUAAUUGCUACUUUUUUCUUCUUUUUCUCACUACAUAUCCUUUGGUAAAUGCAUUAGCAAGCAUGUUAAACUUUUUCACACAUGUUGUUGUAGAUGUUGAUUGUUAAUUGUGUUAGAAUUUUCACUCAGCAAAAACAAUGUGUUUGGAACAAAUAUACGUUUUCUAACUUUUUUUCUUUUUAAGGAAAUUUUAAUUAAAUGACAGCU